Molecule: long non-coding RNA, 522 nt
Organism: Vicia villosa (hairy vetch)
Lineage: Eukaryota; Viridiplantae; Streptophyta; Magnoliopsida; Fabales; Fabaceae
Exons: 3
Source: RefSeq, a predicted model, not a curated record
GUUUUGCUUUUGCGGUAUGUGGUGUUACAUCGCGUUGAAGAUGUUGAGAAUAUUGAGAAUGUUCGAGAGCAUGUACAUUUAUCCGCCCAAGAUAUAUACAACCAUUUGAUCACGAGUGACAAAGAAGAAGAAAAUGGGCGAGCUUUUAUUGAAACAAUAGACUUUGUAAGUCUUAAUGGAUGUGUUUUAGAAUCAUCGUGUCCUUACUUGGGGAGAUUUUGUACAGCUGAAAUCUAUCGCAGGGGAGACAAAUCUUGUGAUUGGAGAAGAAGUACUCAUCUCAGUCCUAUUAGAAAUCAAAAAGAUGGCAGUUGUUGUUUUGCUUUUGCGGUAUGUGGUGUUACAUCGCGUUGAAGAUGUUGAGAAUAUUGAGAAUGUUCGAGAGCAUGUACAUUUAUCCGCCCAAGAUAUAUACAACCAUUUGAUCACGAGUGACAAAGAAGAAGAAAAUGGGCGAUCUUUUAUUGAAACAAUAGACUUUGUAAGUCUUAAUGGAUGUGUUUUAGAAUCAUCGUGUCCUUA